Molecule: long non-coding RNA, 963 nt
Filed under: Setaria italica (foxtail millet)
Lineage: Eukaryota; Viridiplantae; Streptophyta; Magnoliopsida; Poales; Poaceae
Description: long non-coding RNA (SITA_LNC002337)
Source: RNAcentral
ACAUCUGUCUUGCUUUACUAUCUUGCUCAGAAUUACAGCAUAUGCAUAGUCUAGGUUGCUCUAGAUUGGUUACCUCUUGCUUAUAUCUGCUAUCUUUCAGUAUAUGCUAGAUUAGAUCUCAAUCAUUUAUAAACUUAAAUCAUGUUGACAAUGCUAGUUGAAAUAGUUAUUGCAUUAUAAGUUCCACAAAUUGAUAAAUCUUUGGGGAAUAAUCUGAGGGUAGAGCUACAACUGAUUCGUGCGCUUGCGGUUCAAACUGGCGUGCUAAUUGCCACCAACAAUCGUUAGAUCAUCUUAUGCUUGUUACUUUUACCAGCUACCUGUGGUGUUUAUGCUAUUUAUAGCUGUUCUAAUCAUGCAUUUGAAGUUGUUGCAGUAUGCUAAAGUCAAAGGGAGUCCCGAAUACAAUUAAUGCACAUUCAUGCUUUAAAAGUGCUACGUUGGCAUCUAAGGCAAUUAGCACAUGUUUAGAGAGUGAUUAGUGCUAUAUUAGUCUUACAAAGUGAGAAAGAAAGAUGUUGUUUCCUUGUACAUUUUUCUUCAAGUGAAUUGAUGGUCAUUACACUUCAAUUCUAACAGUCAAAUUCUAUGAAAUAAAGGAGCAUGCACCAAAUAUAUGUAUAUUUUUAUUUAAAUAAUGAAGUUUCACGAGUUUUGGUCCAUAUUUGACAUAGGGAAUAGGAGGACCAGACCUGGACUAAUUGUAGGGACCUCUUUCAAGAAAUUCCACUGAGUACCUGGAUCAGUAGCUGAUACAAUUCUCAUCACAGUUUUGCAUCAAAAUAAUAAAAGACGUAUAAUAUUAAUGAAAAUGGUUUUCAUUCUUACGUAACGGUGCGUAGAACCAGAAUUUCUAACCUGUAUAAUGAAAGUAAGGUUGAGUACACUUAUGGUUGGUACUCAGCAAAUCCCAACAUUUACUAAAUAAUUACAUGCAAUUUGUGAGGUGGACAAGGAGUAGAG